CGAAGGCUCCAAAGGAAGCCACGGCUAACUCUGCGCCAGCAGCCGCGGUAAUACAGAGGUGGCAAGCGUUGUUCGGAAUCAUUGGGCGUAAAGAGCACGUAGGUGGGUAUAUAAGUCAGAUGUGAAAGCCUUCUGUUCAACGGGAGAAUUGCAUCUGAAACUGUAAGUCUUGAGUAUAGGAGGGGAGAAUGGAACUUCUGGUGGAGCGGUGAAAUGCGUAGAUAUCAGAAGGAACGCCGGCGGCGAAAGCGAUUCUCUGGCCUAUUACUGACACUCAGUGUGCGAAAGCUAGGGGAGCAAACGGGAUUAGAUACCCCGGUAGUCCUAGCUGUAAA
Molecule: ribosomal RNA, 335 nt
Filed under: uncultured Planctomycetales bacterium
Lineage: Bacteria; Pseudomonadati; Planctomycetota; Planctomycetia; Planctomycetales
Description: bacterial SSU rRNA
Rfam family: Bacterial small subunit ribosomal RNA
Source: RNAcentral